GACGAACGCUGGCGGCGUGCUUAACACAUGCAAGUCGAACGGAAAGGCCCUGCUUUUGUGGGGUGCUCGAGUGGCGAACGGGUGAGUAACACGUGAGUAACCUGCCCUUGACUUUGGGAUAACUUCAGGAAACUGGGGCUAAUACCGGAUAGGAGCUCCUGCUGCAUGGUGGGGGCGGGAAGGUUUCGGCGGUUGGGGAUGGACUCGCGGCUUAUCAGCUUGUUGGUGGGGUAGUGGCUUACCAAGGCUUUGACGGGUAGCCGGCCUGAGAGGGUGACCGGCCACAUUGGGACUGAGAUACGGCCCAGACUCCUACGGGAGGCAGCAGUGGGGAAUAUUGCACAAUGGGCGGAAGCCUGAUGCAGCAACGCCGCGUGCGGGAUGACGGCCUUCGGGUUGUAAACCGCUUUCGCCUGUGACGAAGCGUGAGUGACGGUAAUGGGUAAAGAAGCACCGGCUAACUACGUG
Molecule: ribosomal RNA, 468 nt
Filed under: uncultured bacterium
Lineage: Bacteria
Description: partial 16S ribosomal RNA
Rfam family: Bacterial small subunit ribosomal RNA
Source: RNAcentral